GGAAGAACAAGUGCCGUUCGAAUAGGGCGGCGCCUUGACGGUACCUAACCAGAAAGCCACGGCUAACUACGUGCCAGCAGCCGCGGUAAUACGUAGGUGGCAAGCGUUGUCCGGAAUUAUUGGGCGUAAAGCGCGCGCAGGUGGUUUCUUAAGUCUGAUGUGAAAGCCCACGGCUCAACCGUGGAGGGUCAUUGGAAACUGGGGAACUUGAGUGCAGAAGAGGAAAGUGGAAUUCCAAGUGUAGCGGUGAAAUGCGUAGAUAUUUGGAGGAACACCAGUGGCGAAGGCGACUUUCUGGUCUGUAACUGACACUGAGGCGCGAAAGCGUGGGGAGCAAACAGGAUUAG
This 347-nucleotide ribosomal RNA is filed under the name Bacillus sp. (in: firmicutes). Its description in RNAcentral is "bacterial SSU rRNA". It matches the Rfam family "Bacterial small subunit ribosomal RNA", at positions 443 to 781 of the family's 1533-position model. The record is from RNAcentral. Lineage: Bacteria; Bacillati; Bacillota; Bacilli; Caryophanales; Bacillaceae.